RNAcentral lists this ribosomal RNA (439 nucleotides) under uncultured bacterium. RNAcentral describes it as "partial 16S ribosomal RNA". It matches the Rfam family "Bacterial small subunit ribosomal RNA", at positions 339 to 795 of the family's 1533-position model. The record is from RNAcentral.
CUACGGGAUGCAGCAGUGAGGAAUAUUGCACAAUGGGGGAAACCCUGAUGCAGCAACGCCGCGUGGAGGAUGACGCAUUUCGGUGUGUAAACUCCUUUUAUAUGUCAAGAAAAUGACGGUAGCAUAUGAAUAAGCACCGGCUAACUCCGUGCCAGCAGCCGCGGUAAUACGGAGGGUGCAAGCGUUAUUCGGAAUCACUGGGCGUAAAGGACGCGUAGGCGGGUUUGCAAGUCAGGUGUGAAAUCCUAUGGCUCAACCAUAGAACUGCACUUGAAACUGCGAACCUAGAGUAUGGAAGGGGCAGAUGGAAUUAGUGGUGUAGGGGUAAAAUCCGUAGAUAUCACUAGGAAUACCAAAAGCGAAGGCGAUCUGCUGGGACAUUACUGACGCUAAGGCGUGAAAGCGUGGGGAGCAAACAGGAUUAGAUACCCGCGUAGUC